RNAcentral lists this ribosomal RNA (1340 nucleotides) under Staphylococcus aureus. RNAcentral's name for it is "partial 23S ribosomal RNA". It matches the Rfam family "Bacterial large subunit ribosomal RNA", at positions 1584 to 2925 of the family's 2925-position model. The record is from RNAcentral. Lineage: Bacteria; Bacillati; Bacillota; Bacilli; Caryophanales; Staphylococcaceae.
CUUCGAGUCGUUGAUUUCACACUGCCGAGAAAAGCCUCUAGAUAGAAAAUAGGUGCCCGUACCGCAAACCGACACAGGUAGUCAAGAUGAGAAUUCUAAGGUGAGCGAGCGAACUCUCGUUAAGGAACUCGGCAAAAUGACCCCGUAACUUCGGGAGAAGGGGUGCUCUUUAGGGUUAACGCCCAGAAGAGCCGCAGUGAAUAGGCCCAAGCGACUGUUUAUCAAAAACACAGGUCUCUGCUAAACCGUAAGGUGAUGUAUAGGGGCUGACGCCUGCCCGGUGCUGGAAGGUUAAGAGGAGUGGUUAGCUUCUGCGAAGCUACGAAUCGAAGCCCCAGUAAACGGCGGCCGUAACUAUAACGGUCCUAAGGUAGCGAAAUUCCUUGUCGGGUAAGUUCCGACCCGCACGAAAGGCGUAACGAUUUGGGCACUGUCUCAACGAGAGACUCGGUGAAAUCAUAGUACCUGUGAAGAUGCAGGUUACCCGCGACAGGACGGAAAGACCCCGUGGAGCUUUACUGUAGCCUGAUAUUGAAAUUCGGCACAGCUUGUACAGGAUAGGUAGGAGCCUUUGAAACGUGAGCGCUAGCUUACGUGGAGGCGCUGGUGGGAUACUACCCUAGCUGUGUUGGCUUUCUAACCCGCACCACUUAUCGUGGUGGGAGACAGUGUCAGGCGGGCAGUUUGACUGGGGCGGUCGCCUCCUAAAAGGUAACGGAGGCGCUCAAAGGUUCCCUCAGAAUGGUUGGAAAUCAUUCAUAGAGUGUAAAGGCAUAAGGGAGCUUGACUGCGAGACCUACAAGUCGAGCAGGGUCGAAAGACGGACUUAGUGAUCCGGUGGUUCCGCAUGGAAGGGCCAUCGCUCAACGGAUAAAAGCUACCCCGGGGAUAACAGGCUUAUCUCCCCCAAGAGUUCACAUCGACGGGGAGGUUUGGCACCUCGAUGUCGGCUCAUCGCAUCCUGGGGCUGUAGUCGGUCCCAAGGGUUGGGCUGUUCGCCCAUUAAAGCGGUACGCGAGCUGGGUUCAGAACGUCGUGAGACAGUUCGGUCCCUAUCCGUCGUGGGCGUAGGAAAUUUGAGAGGAGCUGUCCUUAGUACGAGAGGACCGGGAUGGACAUACCUCUGGUGUACCAGUUGUCGUGCCAACGGCAUAGCUGGGUAGCUAUGUGUGGACGGGAUAAGUGCUGAAAGCAUCUAAGCAUGAAGCCCCCCUCAAGAUGAGAUUUCCCAACUUCGGUUAUAAGAUCCCUCAAAGAUGAUGAGGUUAAUAGGUUCGAGGUGGAAGCAUGGUGACAUGUGGAGCUGACGAAUACUAAUCGAUCGAAGACUUAAUCAAAUU